UAAAAGUUUUAUUCUGGCUUUCAAAUUUGUUUUUAGAUUAUUUCACAUGCAAUUUUUGUUUAUGCUUAAAGCUUAGUAUUUGCAGUGAUUGAUAUUAUUAAUUAAAUAACUUUAGAGAUAGUAAUUUUAAUUAGAACUGACUUAAUUUGUGCCAGCAGUCGCGGUUAUACAAAGAGUUCAAAUAAAUUUUAUUAGCUUAAGUUAAAUGAGGUUUUAAUUUUAUAAUAAAAUUGGAUUUUAUUUAGGUGAAAUUUUUAUAGUUUAUUAAUUUAUAUAAUUAUUAUCUAGGUUGAAGCUUGUAAAUUUUAAAUUUAAACUAGGAUUAGAUACCCUAUUAUUUAGAAUGUAAAAUAUUGGGAGGCUUGAGUAGUAAUAGUUAUGGUCUUGAAACUUAAAGAAUUUGGCGGUAUUUUAGUCUAUUCAGAGGAACCUGUUAAUUAAUCGAUGAUCCACGAUGGACCUCACUUAAAUUUGUUUUAUCAGCUUGUAUACCGCCGUUAUUGAAGAUUCUAUUAGGAGAAUAAUUUUCUUUAAUUUAUUUUAAAAUUUAUGUCAGGUCAAGGUGCAGCUUAUGUUUAAGUUUAUAAUGGGUUACAAUAAGAUUACUUAUACGGAAAUUGGAAUUUAAUUUUUGGUUUAAGGUGGAUUUGAUAGUAAAAUUAUAUAGAUAGAUGAUUUGAUUUUAGCUCUAAAAUAUGUACACAUCGCCCGUCGCUCUUACUAUUAAAGUAAGAUAAGUCGUAACAUAGUAGAUGUACUGGAAAGUGUAUCUAGAAUAA
RNAcentral lists this ribosomal RNA (779 nucleotides) under Exhyalanthrax sp. RNAcentral's name for it is "12S ribosomal RNA". The record is from RNAcentral. Lineage: Eukaryota; Metazoa; Arthropoda; Insecta; Diptera; Bombyliidae.